AGUUAGCUGACGAGUCCCAAAUAGGACGAAAAGCAUUAUCUAUAAU
RNAcentral lists this non-coding RNA (46 nucleotides) under Trichobilharzia regenti. Lineage: Eukaryota; Metazoa; Platyhelminthes; Trematoda; Strigeidida; Schistosomatidae. The record is from RNAcentral.